Molecule: ribosomal RNA, 484 nt
Filed under: uncultured bacterium
Lineage: Bacteria
Description: partial 16S ribosomal RNA
Rfam family: Bacterial small subunit ribosomal RNA
Source: RNAcentral
AUUGAACGCUGGCGGCAGGCCUAACACAUGCAAGUCGAGCGGAAGAAGGGAGCUUGCUCCUGGAUUCAGCGGCGGACGGGUGGGUAAUGCCUAGAAAUCUCCCUGGCUGUGGGGGAUAACGUCCGGAAGCGGGCGCUAAUACCGCAUUAGUGCUGAGGGCGUAAGUGGGGGAUCUUCGGACCUCACGAUCUCAGAUGAGCCGAGGUCGGAUUAGCUAGUUGGUGGGGUAAAGGCCUACCAAGGCGACGAUCCGUAGCUGGUCUGAGAGGAUGAUCAGUCACACUGGAACUGAGACACGGUCCAGACUCCUACGGGAGGCAGCAGUGGGGAAUAUUGGACAAUGGGCGAAAGCCUGAUCCAGCCAUGCCGCGUGUGUGAAGAAGGUCUUCGGAUUGUAAAGCACUUUUAGUUGGGAGGAAGGGCAGUAAGUUAAUACCUUGCUGUUUUGACGUUACCAACAGAAUAAGCACCGGCUAACUUCGUG